GGGCGGUGGGUUGGAGGGUGAGCGCCGUCAAUGAGCGCUUCGAUAUGGCCUCCAGCCUUCCCCGCUACCUGUGGGUGCCCAGCACGCUGCUGGACCACGACCUCAAGCGGACGUUCGCCCACUUCCAGGAGCGCCGCCUGGCUCGGCUGUGCUGGCACCACCCAAAUGGCAGCGACCUGCUGAGAGCCGCUGGCUUCCACGCAGCCUCAGAGCCGGGCAGCGAGG
Meleagris gallopavo (turkey) is the source of this 225-nucleotide non-coding RNA. NCBI's taxonomy places the organism in Eukaryota, Metazoa, Chordata, Aves, Galliformes, Phasianidae. The record is from RefSeq and is a predicted model, not a curated record.